Molecule: ribosomal RNA, 368 nt
Filed under: Aspergillus nidulans
Lineage: Eukaryota; Fungi; Ascomycota; Eurotiomycetes; Eurotiales; Aspergillaceae
Description: SSU rRNA
Rfam family: Eukaryotic small subunit ribosomal RNA
Source: RNAcentral
GCGGUUCUAUUUUGUUGGUUUCUAGGACCGCCGUAAUGAUUAAUAGGGAUAGUCGGGGGCGUCAGUAUUCAGCUGUCAGAGGUGAAAUUCUUGGAUUUGCUGAAGACUAACUACUGCGAAAGCAUUCGCCAAGGAUGUUUUCAUUAAUCAGGGAACGAAAGUUAGGGGAUCGAAGACGAUCAGAUACCGUCGUAGUCUUAACCAUAAACUAUGCCGACUAGGGAUCGGGCGGCGUUUCUUUUAUGACCCGCUCGGCACCUUACGAGAAAUCAAAGUUUUUGGGUUCUGGGGGGAGUAUGGUCGCAAGGCUGAAACUUAAAGAAAUUGACGGAAGGGCACCACAAGGCGUGGAGCCUGCGGCUUAAUUU